Molecule: ribosomal RNA, 587 nt
Filed under: uncultured bacterium
Lineage: Bacteria
Description: partial 16S ribosomal RNA
Rfam family: Bacterial small subunit ribosomal RNA
Source: RNAcentral
UGGGGAAUAUUGGACAAUGGGCGCAAGCCUGAUCCAGCAAUGCCGCGUGUGUGAAGAAGGCCUUCGGGUUGUAAAGCACUUUUAUCAGGAGCGAAACGCUGUCGGCUAAUACCCGGCGGAACUGACGGUACCUGAGGAAUAAGCACCGGCUAACUUCGUGCCAGCAGCCGCGGUAAUACGAAGGGUGCAAGCGUUAAUCGGAAUUACUGGGCGUAAAGCGUGCGUAGGCGGUUUCUUAAGUCUGCUGUGAAAUCCCCGGGCUCAACCUGGGAAUGGCAGUGGAUACUGGGAGGCUAGAGUGUGUCAGAGGGUGGUGGAAUUCCCGGUGUAGCGGUGAAAUGCGUAGAGAUCGGGAGGAACAUCAGUGGCGAAGGCGGCCACCUGGGACAACACUGACGCUGAGGCACGAAAGCGUGGGGAGCAAACAGGAUUAGAUACCCUGGUAGUCCACGCCCUAAAGCGAUGCGAACUGGAUGUUGGUCUCAACUCGGAGAUCAGUGUCGAAGCUAACGCGUUAAGUUCGCCGCCUGGGGAGUACGGUCGCAAGACUGAAACUCAAAUGAAUUGACGGGGUCAUAGCUGUUUCC